CCGCAUCUCUCUCUGUCUGUAGGUUCUCUUCUGGGUCUUCGGCCUGACAAAACCACCCCACCCGGUCCUCACACCACGCCUUCUAUUCCCAAAUCAAUUUUUUAAAGGCUUAAAAUCUAAAACAAAUAGGAAACACACUUCCAAUCUGCCCAUAAAACCUUUCUUGGACCGUUGGAUCACGAUCGGGAGUGCCCAAAGCUAUCCGAUCGCGCACCGAUCU
RNAcentral lists this long non-coding RNA (220 nucleotides) under Elaeis guineensis (African oil palm). RNAcentral's name for it is "long non-coding RNA (EGUI_LNC024865)". Lineage: Eukaryota; Viridiplantae; Streptophyta; Magnoliopsida; Arecales; Arecaceae. The record is from RNAcentral.